RNAcentral lists this ribosomal RNA (95 nucleotides) under Acanthosepion pharaonis. Lineage: Eukaryota; Metazoa; Mollusca; Cephalopoda; Sepiida; Sepiidae. The record is from RNAcentral.
GCUGAAACACCGGUUCUCGUUCGAUCACCGAAGUUAAGCAUCGUAGAGCCAGGUCAGUAGAUGGGGGACCGCUUGGGAACACCUGGUACUGUAAG